AAAAAAAAGAAAAAAAAAAUCCUUUUGAGAAUAUGAGAUCAACACUCCCUGGGUUGGAUCUGGUUGGAGGUCAACACCAGCAACAUCCCAAACCAAGUUGACAUUCUACUUGCAACUUAAAACACAUGACACUGGUAUCAGUAAGAGGACAAUCACCAAUCACAAAAACAAUCCAAAUUAAUCAUGAAGCUGGACAAUUCUAGUUGCAAGUCAAAAUUAGAUCUCACAAUAAAACAGUAAGUAAAAGUAUUUGGGGCCGCCAGAAAAUCAACACACAUGCUAAUUAUGUAUAAAUUAAUACAUUGCUUGUGCACAAAGAGGUUUCAUUACUGUAACUGUAUGUGUGCAUGCAAAAAAUGAUGUCUAGUAGUUCAUUCUUCAAUAAAAAUAAUGAUACUCAGGGAAGAAAGCAGUCUUAUAAAAGCAAUUAGACAUGUUGAAUGUUAAAAUUUAAGCUAUCUUCAAUAAAUUCAGUAAUAAUGGGCUGGUGAAAUCUUGUUAAAAGGAUAAAAGAAAAGGAUUGACCCAUCAACUAACAAUUCCACUGAGAAAUUAGUUACUGCAUAUAUUCAAAGACCAUAUAUGAGAAUAUCAAAAGUUCAGCUAAUAAAUAAAAUGAAUAAAGAUAUGUUAAUAUAAUGAUGCCCCCUCCAUUUACAGAUUUCUUGGCUUUUACUAAGAAUCUGAAUCUAGUUUAACAUAGAAAUAUGAGUUUAUAGAGUCUGUUGCAAUGCAUCAAGACAAUAGGGUGGCUACAUGAUUGCAUAUAGUGCACAAGGUAACAUUUUUAGAACAAAUUCCAAGAAAUGCAGCGUCCACCUUAUAGAAUUAAUUUGAUCCCCAAAAAA
This 848-nucleotide unclassified non-coding RNA is filed under the name Hevea brasiliensis (rubber tree). The record is from RNAcentral. Lineage: Eukaryota; Viridiplantae; Streptophyta; Magnoliopsida; Malpighiales; Euphorbiaceae.